Long non-coding RNA from Salvelinus fontinalis (brook trout), 4074 nucleotides. RefSeq lists it as uncharacterized. The record is from RefSeq and is a predicted model, not a curated record. The transcript is spliced from 4 exons. NCBI's taxonomy places the organism in Eukaryota, Metazoa, Chordata, Actinopteri, Salmoniformes, Salmonidae.
CCCAGCCACUAGGGGUACUCUGGCGAAGCCCAUGGGAAAUAAAAGAAAUAUAGUCUAAGUGAAUUGGGAAGAGUAAGAAUGAAAACUAAAGAAAGACUGUAAACGGUUGUUACCUGUGCUGACAUGAUAAAAAGUGGAGUACACAGUACUUUUCGCGUUGUAGUUUAUAUGAUAAGCUCAUUGGAAGGGUAACAAAUUUGGAGGCACCGCUGAGAUGUAUUUUCAUGUGAGCACCGGCCCAUAUUCCUGGAACGGACAACGAGUGAGAGACAUUGGGAGAGUAGCUAGCUAGCUAACGUUAGCAGGCUAACCACCUAACGGAGUGUAGCUAUCUUGCCAAUGUCUGCAUUGUAGUUGUUGCCACGUGAGUAGGACAAUAUGAGUCGAGAGAGGAAAACGUUGUUGGAUGAAAUCUAACAGAGUUUAUGGACUUUAACUGAGGACAAUUUACGGCACCUGUGUGUAGUUGUGGAAUAGGAGGUGUAGAUGACUGAAGUAAAAGGAAAGAGCCAUCGCGCUUUGCGGCGAAAAUUGAUGGAAGAUUACUGUGAGAAGGAAGCUUUAAUGGAAUCAGAGGAUGAGGGAAUGUCUUGCCUGCUUCAGCUGAAAGACGAAAUCAAAGGAAUAUCGGACUCUGAGGAUACAAUAUAUAUAUAAAGUCUGCUUUACAAAUCCCAGCCAGUCGGCGCCAACGAGGCAAGUGGACAGCAAUGUGGAACGCCGUUUGGGUCUUUGCGUGUCAAAAAGAUACACGUCAAAUAACACUAUUUGACACGUCAAAUAAGCUUCUUUAGCAAUCAGGACCUGAAUAUGACUCCAGGCUAGAGACCAUGUUGCGGAGCCUUCGGUGGGCAAGUGGUCAUUUGAUUGAUGAAGAGAUGGCCAGCAAUCUAAUUGCUGUUGCCGAGGAGUUCCUACAAGAGGCAAAUGACAUCUAACAACGGGAACCUUACGAAAAUGCCAAUGUCCUGUCAAGCGCCUUUGGAGGGGAGGCGGUAUCACAUCACCAAGGAGCAGCUUGAGUUCCUCAUAGAUUGUCAUAUGACCAUCAGACAAAUGGCAGAUGUUCUCAAUGUGUCGCACUCUGUGGUCAAGUUGCGCAUGAGGUGUAGGAUUGUUAUCCAUGGUGCUGUGGAUGGUUACAGCAGACUUGUUGUGUUUCUGAAGGCCUCUGACAACAACAGGACCGCCACAGUCAUGGAGUCAUUCGAAGCAGCCAUCACCAGCUACGGAACAACAUCCCAGGUGAGAUGUGACCGGGUGGUGAAAACAACCGCAUCUGUGCCUUCAUGGAGCAGUUCAGGGGUGGUGAGAGGGGAAGUGCCCUCAGAGGAAGGAGCACUCACAACCAGAGGAUAGAGCGGCUGUGGGGGGACGUCUGGCAUGGAGUCUCCAACGUUUACCAUGACCUGUUCACCUUCUUGGAGACGGAGCAGAUCAUCGACAUCAACAAUGAGGUGCACCUGUGGGCACUGCACUUUGCGUUCCUGCCACGGGUGAACAGAGAUCUUGCUGUGUUUGCCAGUCAGUGGAACCACCAUGGGCUGAGGACUGUCUCGGGUUCCCUGGCAAUGCAGAGGGCCAAUCUGACAGCAGUAAGGGAUUUGUUCGCCCCAAAUUCAGCCACCAUCAGCUCUCAAGCCACCACCUCAGUUCCUCCAACCACCACCUCAGUUCCUCCAACCACCACCUCAGUUCCUCCAACCACCACCUCAGCUCCUCCAACCACCACCUCAGCUCCUCCAACCACCACCUCAGUUCCUCCAACCACCACCUCAGUUCCUCCAACCACCACCUCAGUUCCUCCAACCACCACCUCAGUUCCUCCAACCACCACCUCAGUUCCUCCAACCACCACCUCAGUUCCUCCAACCACCACCUCAGCUCCCCCAACCACUGGCGCCGCAGCUCUUUAUUGGUCGUAAUGGGUGAUUGUGCCACAAAUCCAGUUCACCAUCAUCACACACAGAUGGAACUGUUGCGGACUACAUACACCCCUGAUACUCCCCUACUGGGAUGAGGGAUUGGACACUAUAUCUUCAGCGCCACUCGUUCCUACUUCAACCUGACUUACUACAUACACCCCUGAUACUCCCCUACUGGGAUGAGGGAUUGGACACUAUAUCUUCAGCGCCACACAUUCCUUUUAAUCAGUUCAUUUUUAUAAUACUAUUAUACAUUUUAUAAUACUAACAUUCCCCCUCUUUCACACACUGUAUGAUUUGGUCUGUCAAUUCCAUACAAUUAUAUGAUUCAGGGCGGAAUAUUCUAAUCAUUCAAUUAACAGAUAAAUCCAACUAACAACUACUCAAAUUUAUUUGACUCAUUAAGUCAAAGACGUAAUUAACUGCGAUACACUGGUCUGAAAUAUAUUAGCAUAAGUAGGCUACACAGUAGUUGACUCAAAGAGAGAGAAAGACAAUAGUUUUAAAGUUUUGAACAAAUUAAUUUGUUCAAAACUUAAUCAGCUAGCGACUGAACGUGGCUAGUUUAGCCUACUCAAACACCUGGCUCAAACAGAGAGGGUUGCUAUGCUGGCUAUGGCUAUCCAACAUUGGAACUCUUUCAAGUCAAUGUAAGCUUUUGAUUUGAUUAAUCUAUUGCCACCGGGGCCCGCUGGUGUACCUGCUAAACUGCUUGCUGUGCACUAUACUGCAUGAUUGUAGUGGGUUCAGUAACACGUUAGUUCUAGUAGAUAUGUUGACUUUGACGUUAGCUAAUAUGGUGACAACGAUGUAGGCUGUGUGUAGCGGUUAUGGUAUGAAGGUUAGGCUUGGAAAGGUUUUUUCGCCUGGUCACAGACGACUUUUGUGCUGUGCAAUAUUAUCCACAAGCGAAGGGAGAAGGUGAGAGGAAGAGAGCGAGUAGAUGCAAGAAGAAAUUAUACCACGAGCAGUGAUCAUGCUGUUUGCAGUGUUGUAAAGUACUUAAGUAAAAAUACUUGAAAGUACUACUUAAGUAGUUUGUUUGGGUAUCUGUACUUUGCUAUUUAUAUUUUUGACUACCUUUACUUCACUACAUUCCUAAAGAAAAUGAUGUACUUUUUCUCUGACACCCAAAAGUACUUGUUACAUUUUGAAUGCUUAGAAUGACAGGAAAAUUGUCUAAUUCACACCCUUAUCAAGAGAACAUCCCUGGUCAUCCCUACUGCCUCUGAUCUGGUGGACUCACUAAACACUUGCUUAAUUUACAAAUGAUGUCUGAGUGUUAGAGCGUGCCCCUGGCUAUCCAUAAAUAAAAAACAUAAAAUGGUACCAUAUGGUUUGAUUAAUAUAAGGAAUUUGAAAUUAUUUAUUUACUUUUUGAUACCUAAGUAUAUUUGAACAAUUACAUUUACUUUUGAUACUUAAGUAGAUUUAAAACCAAAUACUUUUGAACUUUUACUCAAGUAGGAUUGUACUGGGUGACUUUUACUUGAGUCAUUUUCUAUUAAGGUAUCUUUACUUUUACUCAAGUAUGACAAUUGGGUACUUUUUCCACCUGGCUGUUUAUAUGUGGCUGCUAUGAAAGUGAACUCUGUUUCAGUUGAUAAAAAUGUUUCUUAAAUGUAAUGAAAUGGCCCUAAACAUACAUAAAUGUAUCCAAAAGAAGCUGUCGUUUGCAACUGUUGGACUAAUGAUUACACCCUAGACCAGCUAGAUGCAGGCAAGAGUGUGCAAGGCAGUAUUGAAUGUGUCACUGUCUGUCACCUACUCACCUUGAUUACUCACAUUUUUCUCUUGACCUGUGUACCUACAGUAUGUUUUAAACUUGAAUUUGUAGGCUAGGUUGUUGCAACCUCAUGAUGGGUAUGGGGAAAAUUUGAGUAUUAUGUAAUAGUCUAAACCUUUCGACGUUACAUUGAGCUUGGUGAAUGGAAUAUGAAGAACAGUUAUCCAAUAUGCUGUAAUAUAAAUAAGGCCAUGCUCAUAAAAUUAAGUAAUCGUCCUCCCUCAUCUUAAACGGCACCGACCGCCACAGAGUAUGGCUGCAUAGAUUCCCUUUGGCUGUAAGAUGCUUUCAAUGGUAGUCUAUUCCCGUGUGUGUUGUCAAUAAUUAGGCCUAUUUGUGCAAUAAAUAUGACUCAUCACUCUA